Mesocricetus auratus (golden hamster) is the source of this 833-nucleotide long non-coding RNA. RefSeq lists it as uncharacterized. Lineage: Eukaryota; Metazoa; Chordata; Mammalia; Rodentia; Cricetidae. The record is from RefSeq and is a predicted model, not a curated record. The transcript has 3 exons.
ACAGUUUUCCUAAUCUGCAUCCUCCUAGGUUCUUCUGUUGACUUAUAAAAGGCAAGCUGUAACUGAAGAACCCAGCUAGUGAAACCACUUGGACUUUAAUCACUUUUUAACUUCACUUGGGGUCAAGGCUGUACAGAAAUGAAGAAAUAUUUAUUCAAGGAAAUCCACGUGGUCAAUUAAUGUCGAUAAGGGCAGUGUGUGUAUACAAGGAGGAAAGAAAUGUUUCUUCAAUAAAUGGAUAUCCACAUGAAAAAUGUAACGGAAAAUGGAACCUUAUCUUCUAUAAGAAUAGCUCCAAAUAGAUUAAAGACAAUCAGGCUUCCCCUGGACCUCCUCCUCCUUGGACCACUGCCCUGCCAGGUCGGCUGCCUUGACACCUGUUCCAGCUUUACUUGCUGCUGCUAUUGCCACACAUUCUCAGCCCCCAGCUAUACAAGAGCAUCUGCAGCUGCAGCCAGCAAGGCUCCGCACCACCUGCCCCCAGGAAGGCUCUGCACCACCUGCCCCCAGCAAGGCUCUGCACCACCUUCAUUCUUUUCCCACUGGCAGCUGCCCUUGCCCUUAGCUGUCAUAGUUAAAGGUAGAAUUGUUUGUUUUUUCAAAGAGUUUUUACCCACAUUAAGAAUGGGGAACAAUAUUAUGAUGCAGGGAAUUAGAUCUCUGUAGAGUUCCACAAUGGAUGGCGUGAAAAUAGAAAAAAAUUAAAUGAAAGGGUAAGCAAUUUAGCUGGGAUUGACAUGUCAAUUAUAAUCACUGUCAGUUUGGUAAUUCAUGUUUUAUUCUUUUUUAAUUAUUAUUUUUUAUCUAGGUUAGAAACAAUCUUGUUUCACAUA